AGGACGAACGCUGGCGGCGCGCUUAACGACAUGCAAGUCGAACGUGAAGCCCGGGCUUGCCCGGGUGGAAAGUGGCGAACGGGUGCGUAACACGUGAGCAACCUGCCCCGAAGACCGGGAUAACAGCGGGAAACCGCUGCUAAUACCGGAUGCCCUCAUCACACCGCAUGGCGAGAUGAGGAAAUGGAUUCCGCUUCGGGAUGGGCUCGCGGUCUAUCAGCUUGUUGGUGAGGUAACGGCUCACCAAGGCUACGACGGAUAGCUGGUCUGAGAGGAUGUCCAGCCACACUGGGACUGAGACACGGCCCAGACUCCUACGGGAGGCAGCAGUGGGGAAUCUUGCACAAUGGGCGAAAGCCUGAUGCAGCGACGCCGCGUGCGGGAUGACGGCCUUCGGGUUGUAACCGCUUUCAGCAGGGACGAUGAUGACGGUACCUGCAGAAGAAGCCCCGGCCAACUACGUGCCAGCAGCCGCGGUAA
RNAcentral lists this ribosomal RNA (480 nucleotides) under uncultured bacterium. Its description in RNAcentral is "SSU rRNA". It matches the Rfam family "Bacterial small subunit ribosomal RNA", at positions 26 to 523 of the family's 1533-position model. The record is from RNAcentral.